CGACACGUGCUCGCUGGAGAAAGUUGC
Molecule: small RNA, 27 nt
Filed under: Bombyx mori (domestic silkworm)
Lineage: Eukaryota; Metazoa; Arthropoda; Insecta; Lepidoptera; Bombycidae
Description: ovarian small RNA-4855
Source: RNAcentral